This 499-nucleotide ribosomal RNA is filed under the name uncultured Glomus. RNAcentral's name for it is "SSU rRNA". It matches the Rfam family "Eukaryotic small subunit ribosomal RNA", at positions 569 to 1073 of the family's 1831-position model. The record is from RNAcentral. Lineage: Eukaryota; Fungi; Glomeromycota; Glomeromycetes; Glomerales; Glomeraceae.
AGCAGCCGCGGUAAUUCCAGCUCCAAUAGCGUAUAUUAAAGUUGUUGCAGUUAAAAAGCUCGUAGUUGAAUUUCGGGAUCAAUAUGCUGGUCGUGCCAUUGGUACGUACUAGUAUUAUUGGUUUCUUCCUUCUGAUGAAUCAUGAUGUCAUUAAGUUGAUGUCAUGGGGAAUCAGGACUGUUACUUUGAAAAAUUAGAGUGUUUAAAGCAGGCUCGCGCUUGAAUACAUUAGCAUGGAAUAAUGAAAUAGGACGUUUGAUUCUAUUUUGUUGGUUUCUAGAAUUGACGUAAUGAUUAAUAGGGAUAGUUGGGGGCAUUAGUAUUCAAUUAUCAGAGGUGAAAUUCUUGGAUUUAUUGAAGACUAACUACUGCGAAAGCAUUUGCCAAGGAUGUCUUCAUUAAUCAAGAACGAAAGUUAGGGGAUCGAAGACGAUCAGAUACCGUCGUAGUCUUAACCAUAAACUAUGCCGACUAGGGAUCGGAUGAUGUUAAUUUUUAA